This 460-nucleotide ribosomal RNA is filed under the name uncultured bacterium. RNAcentral's name for it is "partial 16S ribosomal RNA". It matches the Rfam family "Bacterial small subunit ribosomal RNA", at positions 338 to 795 of the family's 1533-position model. The record is from RNAcentral.
CCUACGGGGGGCUGCAGUGAGGAAUAUUGGUCAAUGGGCGUAAGCCUGAACCAGCCAAGUCGCGUGAGGGAUGAAGGUUCUAUGGAUCGUAAACCUCUUUUAUAAGGGAAUAAAGUGUGGGACGUGUCCUAUUUUGUAUGUACCUUAUGAAUAAGGAUCGGCUAACUCCGUGCCAGCAGCCGCGGUAAUACGGAGGAUCCGAGCGUUAUCCGGAUUUAUUGGGUUUAAAGGGUGCGUAGGCGGCCUUUUAAGUCAGCGGUGAAAGUCUGUGGCUCAACCAUAGAAUUGCCGUUGAAACUGGGGGGCUUGAGGAUGUUUGAGGCAGGCGGAAGGCGUGGUGUAGCGGUGAAAUGCUUAGAUAGCACGCAGAACCACGAUUGCGAAGGCAGCCUGCCAAGCCAUGACUGACGCUGAUGCACGAAAGCGUGGGGAUCAAACAGGAUUAGAUACCCCAGUAGUC